Molecule: ribosomal RNA, 229 nt
Filed under: uncultured bacterium
Lineage: Bacteria
Description: partial 16S ribosomal RNA
Rfam family: Bacterial small subunit ribosomal RNA
Source: RNAcentral
AUUGAACGCUGGCGGCAGGCCUAACACAUGCAAGUCGAACGGUAGCACAGAGAGCUUGCUCUCGGGUGACGAGUGGCGGACGGGUGAGUAAUGUCUGGGAAACUGCCCGAUGGAGGGGGAUAACUACCUGGAAACGGUAGGCUAAUACCGCAUAACGUCGCAAGACCAAAGAGGGGGACCUUCGGGCCUCUUGCCAUCGGAUGUUGCCCAGAUGGGAUUAGCUUGUAGG